Molecule: ribosomal RNA, 475 nt
Filed under: uncultured bacterium
Lineage: Bacteria
Description: bacterial SSU rRNA
Rfam family: Bacterial small subunit ribosomal RNA
Source: RNAcentral
UGGCGGCAUGCCUUACACAUGCAAGUCGAACGGCAGCACGGGAGCAAGUCCUGGUGGCGAGUGGCGAACGGGUGAGUAAUAUAUCGGAACGUGCCCAGUCGUGGGGGAUAACGUAGCGAAAGCUACGCUAAUACCGCAUACGAUCUAUGGAUGAAAGCGGGGGAUCGCAAGACCUCGCGCGAUUGGAGCGGCCGAUAUCAGAUUAGGUAGUUGGUGAGGUAAAGGCUCACCAAGCCGACGAUCUGUAGCUGGUCUGAGAGGACGACCAGCCACACUGGGACUGAGACACGGCCCAGACUCCUACGGGAGGCAGCAGUGGGGAAUUUUGGACAAUGGGCGCAAGCCUGAUCCAGCAAUGCCGCGUGCAGGAUGAAGGCCUUCGGGUUGUAAACUGCUUUGUACGGAACGAAACGGUGAGCUCUAAUACAGUUUGCUAAUGACGGUACCGUAAGAAUAAGCACCGGCUAACUACGUG